This 503-nucleotide ribosomal RNA is filed under the name uncultured bacterium. RNAcentral describes it as "partial 16S ribosomal RNA". It matches the Rfam family "Bacterial small subunit ribosomal RNA", at positions 29 to 507 of the family's 1533-position model. The record is from RNAcentral.
AACGAACGCUGGCGGCGUGCCUAACACAUGCAAGUCGAACGAGAAAGGGGCUUCGGCUCCGAGUCAAGUGGCGCACGGGUGAGUAACACGUGGGUAACCUGCCUCUAAGAUUGGGAUAACUCGUCGAAAGAUGAGCUAAUACCGAAUAAGACCACAGUUCCCGCGGGAACAGGGGUCAAAGGUAGCCUCUGCUUGCAAGCUAUCACUUAGAGAUGGGCCUGCGUACCAUUAGCUAGUUGGUAGGGUAACGGCCUACCAAGGCACAGAUGGUUAGCUGGUCUGAGAGGAUGAUCAGCCACACUGGAACUGAGACACGGUCCAGACUCCUACGGGAGGCAGCAGUGGGGAAUAUUGCGCAAUGGGCGAAAGCUUGACGCAGCAACGCCGCGUGAGUGAUGAAGGCCUUCGGGUCGUAAAGCUCUGUCGGGAGGAACGAAUGCUCCUGAGGUUAACAGCCUCGGGAGGUGACGGUACCUUCAAAGGAAGCACCGGCUAACUCUGUG